GGCCGGUUAGAUCAGUCAGUUAGAACUUGGUGCUGAUAACACCAAGGUCGCAGGUUCAAUCCCCGUUCGGACCC
Molecule: transfer RNA, 74 nt
Filed under: Apaloderma vittatum (bar-tailed trogon)
Lineage: Eukaryota; Metazoa; Chordata; Aves; Trogoniformes; Trogonidae
Rfam family: tRNA
About the family: Transfer RNA (tRNA) molecules are approximately 80 nucleotides in length. Their secondary structure includes four short double-helical elements and three loops (D, anti-codon, and T loops).
Source: Rfam by way of RNAcentral